AUAGGAGUUCAGUGGUCGCAGCCCACUACCCUACUGGGGAAGUUUGGUAGUUGUCUGUCCCAGCCCACUAUACAUCAUAGGGAACUUAGUUUAGUAGUUUCCUCCCCCAGCCCGGUAGGAGAUGGCUAUGGCAGGCCACUCAGUAGUAGUUCACAACCCCCCAGCUAACUAUACCCAACAAGCAGGCCAGUAGUUGUCUGUCCCAGCCCACUAUACAUCAUAGGGAACUUAGUUUAGUAGUUUCCUCCCCCAGUCCACUACCAGCCCGGUAGGAGAUGGCUAUGGCAGGCCACUCAGUAGUAGUUCACAGCUAACUAUACCCAACAAGCAGGCCAGUAGUUGUCUGUCCCAGCCCACUACAUUACACAAGCAGUUAACUAGUUCCAAACCCUACACCGUUAGUAGUCUGUCGCCCUUGACAACUGAAGGUUUGGACUCUAACCUCCAGCGGUCAUUUUGAGAAUGGUGGUGGCAGCCUAGAUGAGGCCUCGGGAUGAUUAUUUUUAGGGGGAUCUCAGGAACCUGUGGAGGCCUCAAUGACAGCAGCUAUAGUCCUCUCAGCUCUCCUCCAUCUCUGCCUCACAGAGGAGCUAUCCUUCCUAACCUCCUCACAACCUAAACGGAAGAAGUCUGGCAUGGGUCUCUGACCUCAGUAUUGAUGGAUGCAGCCUCACCUCAAACUGUUCCUUUUCAAACCAGAUGGAUGAAACUACGACAUAUAUUCCUGUAUACCUUUCACCCUGAUCCCAGCAGUCCUCAGGUAUGGUUGGCAGUUCAGGGACGCUGUAGUAGCUGGUGUGAAGAUUCUGAGCUGUCCUUCUCGACACGAUCCAGACGAGCUUUUUAUUGUUGGGUUUGCUACAUUCGGGAGAAGAGUAGUCGGACAUACACUUGGCCACCAGUCCCUUCCAGUGUAGCAGCUCAACGUCAGUGAUCUGUAAAAAGACGACCAGGGCAUCAUAACAUUGGACACCGGGUUACAUAAUAGACUGGGUCAGCAGAAACCUUUUGGGAUGGAUCCCAGGCGUUGUAAAAGGAUAGCAGCCGGGAACACGAGGCCGGGGAAUGUGAAAAGGUUUUUUUUUUUUUUUUCAUGUCUUUCCAUAACCGUGCCAGUUGUCAUAUGAAACCUUUUGGACUAAGGUUGUAGGGCAUACAAUAUUCAGAGAUGGUUCCAGGGGGAAAAAUAGGUUUCUUUUGUGUACGAAUUUGACAGUUAACACCGGGUUACUGCUGUUUAAAACAAAGGAUUUACAUCCAUGUUAUGUGAUAAAGCUUCAACAAAUGUGUUUACCUUGAGAUGUCUUUGAACAUGAUGUGCUAUUUCUAACAUAUCAACAGAGUGCAUGGCUUCAAUCUCCUGAGUGAGGAGUGACAGGGCCAAGACUGACGGCUGGAAGAGAAGAAAAAAUGCAUCAAAUUAGACUGCAGCUGCCAAGAGGUCUCCUGAAAUAUGUAACAUCUCAUGGACUCUGGGGUAAAUCAUUACUUUAGCUUUGGAGAACGCGAUCCGGCAGAGACAGGCUUUGAGCUGGACCUCUAGCAUGUCGAGAUUCAGGGCCCCUUCCUGUAAAGGUUAAAUUACAUAUUAGAACCAAUCAGGGUGUGAAAACAAGGCGUCAGGGCUAUCUGUUACAUAAUUGAAUUUGUUAUGGUGGAAUGGACACCAUGUUAUUUGAUCAUGUCCAGUGAGAACCAUCGUCCUACUUCCAGUCAGGACUAUAAGUACGUCUAGUUUUUUUUAAACCUUUAUUUACCUAGGCAAGUCAGUUAAAAACAAAUUCUUAUUUUCAAUGACGGCCUAGGAACAGUGGGUUAACUGCCUGUUCAGGGGCAGAACGACAGCUCGGGGUUUAAACUUGCAACCUUCCGGUUACUAGUCCAACGCUCUAACCACUAGGCUACCCUGCUGCCCCAGUUAAUUAUGUCACACUAUUACCACCUUCCAAAUGGGGUUGAUUGCUCGGUGAAUUGUAAUAUAUUUUUUUAUAAUAAUGGGUUCUUACAGGUCUGAGGUAUGGGCGCUUGUGAUUCCGUGGUAUAGGUGCAAAAAGGUUAAAGCUGUGAUGGUUUUGAGUUGGAAGUUGAGUUUCUCUGAAACAAUCUUCUCCAUGCGAGUGAGGUCCGAGACCGUAAACUUGCACUGGCUGAUACGAAUAAGCUCAUUGGUGGAAGACAAGUUACACUCCUCUUCGACUGCUUUGGCUGCGAUGUGGAGACAACUGAUGCCGAUGCAAGCUAGAUGUUUGGGUUGGACCUGAAGAGGAGGGAGAUGAACAAAAGCUUGGAAUUAGUGGAAACAGACAUUACUAUUAUUACUCACAGCAAUUCCCUUUUUAUUUGUAGUUUGUCUAAGGACAUUAUGUCAUAAUUAUUGUCAUCAAAAGAAAUGUAGCGUUGCGAAUUAGCUGUAGAGUAUGUUGAAAUUACUAUUAAAAAAAGUGCUCUUGA
This is a long non-coding RNA of Oncorhynchus masou masou (cherry salmon), 2451 nucleotides long. RefSeq lists it as uncharacterized. The transcript has 2 exons. The record is from RefSeq and is a predicted model, not a curated record. NCBI's taxonomy places the organism in Eukaryota, Metazoa, Chordata, Actinopteri, Salmoniformes, Salmonidae.